RNAcentral lists this ribosomal RNA (492 nucleotides) under uncultured bacterium. RNAcentral's name for it is "partial 16S ribosomal RNA". It matches the Rfam family "Bacterial small subunit ribosomal RNA", at positions 29 to 507 of the family's 1533-position model. The record is from RNAcentral.
AGUGAACGCUGGCGGUAGGCCUAACACAUGCAAGUCGAACGGCAGCACAGUAAGAGCUUGCUCUUACGGGUGGCGAGUGGCGGACGGGUGAGGAAUACAUCGGAAUCUACUUUUUCGUGGGGGAUAACGUAGGGAAACUUACGCUAAUACCGCAUACGACCUACGGGUGAAAGCAGGGGAUCUUCGGACCUUGCGCGAUUGAAUGAGCCGAUGUCGGAUUAGCUAGUUGGCGGGGUAAAGGCCCACCAAGGCGACGAUCCGUAGCUGGUCUGAGAGGAUGAUCCGCCACACUGGAACUGAGACACGGUCCAGACUCCUACGGGAGGCAGCAGUGGGGAAUAUUGGACAAUGGGCGCAAGCCUGAUCCAACCAUACCGCGUGGGUGAAGAAGGCCUUCGGGUUGUAAAGCCCUUUUGUUGGGAAAGAAAAGCAGCAGGUUAAUACCCCGCUGUUCUGACGGUACCCAAAGAAUAAGCACCGGCUAACUUCGUG